Long non-coding RNA from Vidua chalybeata, 1395 nucleotides. RefSeq lists it as uncharacterized. The record is from RefSeq and is a predicted model, not a curated record. The transcript is spliced from 4 exons. NCBI's taxonomy places the organism in Eukaryota, Metazoa, Chordata, Aves, Passeriformes, Viduidae.
GGGCGGGCAGCGCGGCCAAUAGGAGUGAGGCGGGCGCCUCGCGCCGUUCAAAUGGUGCCGGGCGCGGCGCGGCCCGUGAGGGCGGCGGGGGCUCGGCCGGGCUGGGCGAAGGACGCUGAGGGCACCGGGGGUCCCGCCCGAGCGGCGGCGGAGCCGGGGCGCCGCCUCCCCGCGCCGCUCCCCUCGCACAGCUCCAGUCACCCAGCGACCCAACCACCGCGCCCGGGGAGCAGUAGCACCCACCGAAGCUGGUGACAGCGUAGAGCAGCCCUUGUCCGCCAGGAAGCAAAAUGUUGCCCUCCGCUGUUUGCAGCGUUGCUGGAACAGAGAACUCGCUGCGUCCGAGCCAGUCCAGCGCUUUACUCCAGUGUCACGUCUGUGGCAGUGGUCAGGGGAUUUGGAGAGAGACAGCUCCCACCCAGCCCACAGAUGGCUGCAAAGACCUGCAAAAGGUCCCAUCAUCCUCCCUGACGGCCUCCCACUCUCAGGGUGAGCUGCUCCUGCCCUGGCACCUCGGCACAGGACUGAGACGUGGGGGUUGGCCAUGGCUUCAGCUGGGUUGUCUUCACACUGAGCACCCACACAUUGGAAUGUCAGCAUUCUCCAUGGCUGGAGCACUACCAGCCCUGGCUGUAGAGCUUCACUGGAUCUGGACACCCCGUCCUUGAGAUGCAGAAGCCCAUGAAGCAGCUGAGCACCACGGCGUUGGGAGCUGCGGACCCCACUGCGAUGGGAUGUGAGCAAUGGGCAGAGCUGGCCUUCCCCUCCUCUGACCCUCGCCCGGGGAACCCUGCACUGGGAAAUGGCAUCAUCUACACACACACGCCAUGGCAGCCAAGGGAACAAGGGGACGAGUCCCUCCCCAGGCAGGUUUUGCCACCCUGGCCCUUUGUGGGACCUGUACUGUCAUCUCCUCUGAUCUGCCACAGCGGCCAGAUCCCGAACGAGGCUGAUUUUAUCCACACAGCAACAUCAGUGCCAUGUACCCAGGGGAGAAAAAGUCCUUGAUUUAGCAGACAUGACCAGACCUGGUCAGAAAAUGGAUAUUGUUCCUCAAAGGCAGAGAGGGACAAGGACAAACAGCUGAGUUGAGCUGGUUUGGGGUCAGGCAUUGCUCAUAGUACAACCCAUGCUGGCAGAGCAUGCUGACUGCUGGGGUUUGCUACAAAAAUGCCUUCUGAUAAAGGUGUCCCUGCACUGAGGGGCCCAAGCGGGGCUCACCAAGGAUAUUUGCCAUGGUUUAGACCCCAGGGCAAAGUCAUCCCAUCCCAGCUGAGCAAGCUGAAGCUGGGGAGCUUCCUUGUUGCCAGGCUGGAUUGCUAGUGAGCAAAUCAUGUCCAACCUGCUGGGUAUUCCCUCGAGCCUCCUUUCCAAGCAUUAAAAGUGCUAAUUAAA